This 253-nucleotide ribosomal RNA is filed under the name uncultured prokaryote. RNAcentral describes it as "partial 16S ribosomal RNA". It matches the Rfam family "Bacterial small subunit ribosomal RNA", at positions 524 to 776 of the family's 1533-position model. The record is from RNAcentral.
UACAGAGGGUGCUAGCGUUGUUCGGAAUCAUUGGGCGUAAAGGGUCCGUAGGCGGUUUAGUAAGUCAGUGGUGAAAGCCCAUCGCUCAACGGUGGAACGGCCAUUGAUACUGCUGAACUUGAAUUACUAGGAAGUAACUAGAAUAUGUAGUGUAGCGGUGAAAUGCUUAGAGAUUACAUGGAAUACCAAUUGCGAAGGCAGGUUACUACUAGUGGAUUGACGCUGAUGGACGAAAGCGUGGGGAACGAACAGG